This is an RNA transcript of Dama dama (fallow deer), 1599 nucleotides long. RefSeq lists it as uncharacterized. The transcript is spliced from 3 exons. The record is from RefSeq and is a predicted model, not a curated record. NCBI's taxonomy places the organism in Eukaryota, Metazoa, Chordata, Mammalia, Artiodactyla, Cervidae.
GCGGGAGGCCCUGGCUCGAGUCAGUAAUAAAUUCCCCUAUUGCGAGUUGCAUUGUUUCGAGGAGUCUUCUUUCCCGACCGGGGACUCGGACUACGGGCAGAACAUUUGGGGGUUCGUCCGGGAUCCCUUGACCGGGGAAGAACGCUCUUUGGAACAAAGGGGAAAAAAAGAUAGGGAAUAGCACCGGUGCUCAGGCAGGUUUAGAAAAAGACCAGAGUAAAGCCGAGGCCCUGCUAUGAAGCGGGAAGGUGUCUGGCGCAGAAAAAGACCAGAGUAAACCCGAGGCCCUGCUGUGAAGCGGGAAGGUGUCUGGCGUUAGGGAAAGCUUUCCAUGAGGGAACGGACUGGCUGUUCCUGCUGGCGUGAGGCCGCGGCCAGCGAGCGCGCUGGGAGGCAGCCAGCUCUGCGGGAAGGAGACCUCCUCUCCUAAGCCCGAAUCUGGAGAACAGUGGACGCCAUACGCUGUUGCAGGUGCUCUUCAACACGGAAGAAUGGGAGCAAAUCCUGGCAGAGGCACGGAAACGGGUCCCGCGGGUCGACGGGAGACUAACCGCCCAGCCUCAUCUCGUGGACGAGGGGUUUCCUCUGUUGCGGCCUAACUGGGAUUUUGAGCGAGUGGAAGGUCGACGGGAUCGGGCCCUAGGUUCACUGCAAUCACGUGCGGCAAGCCACCCCAGAAGAACAGGAGAAGAUGCAAGCAGAAUGGGAGGCAAGACCUCACCCGUCAAAUCUUUUGAAACUGAAACUCGUACGACGGGAGCCCUCUUAACUCUCCUGCUGAUAACAGUUUUCGUUGGCCCAGGAGGAACCAGCCACAACCCCCAUCAGCCAGCUAACCUGACUUGGGUAAUCUACAAUCCUGAGACUGGAGAAAUGCUUAAUUCAAGCUCCAACGUGGCCCCAAAGGGACAUGGUGGCCAGUACUGACCUUUGAUUUGUGCGUGCUGGUGGCUGACGGUAAUGGGUUUGGUCCCCACCAACUGACCAAGUUCUUUGCCCAUGGCUCUUUCAGUCUGUUCACCUGUAACUGUGAGUGAAAAGGCCCAAAGUACUACGAACAGGUGCCUGUCUGUGUCUGCCUGGGGGAGAAGAAGGGAUCAGAACCAAAAUGAAAAAUGUGGGGAAAUUGACUCUUUUUAUUGCGCCGCUUGGGGUUGCAAAACCAAGGGAACAGUCCAUUUCGCACCUCCAAGAAUCCUUGAGCUCCUUGGCUGAAGUAAUGUUACAGAAUAGGAGAGGUUUAGAUUUGCUGUUUCUGCAACAAGGAAGAUUAUGUGCAGCACUGAGAAAAGAAUGCUGUUUCUAUAUUCAGGGGUGGUACAAAAAUCUCUCUAAAACGUAAGAGAGGGACUAGCCCAGUGGAAGAGAGAACGAGAAGCCCAACAAGGCUGGUUUAAAUCUUGGUUUCAGCGCUCCCCCUGGUUGACCACUUUGAUUUCCACCCUCCUGGGUCCACUCAUAGUAUUAAUAUUGUUACUGACUUUUGGUCCAUGCAUUUUAAACCAUCUGGUCUCAUUUAUUAGGGAGCGCCUAAAUAUCAUCCAAAUUAAGGUAUUGAGACAACAAUAUCAGUCAAUUUCACAGAGUAAAGAGGAAGAU